RNAcentral lists this long non-coding RNA (9891 nucleotides) under Theobroma cacao (cacao). RNAcentral's name for it is "long non-coding RNA (TCAC_LNC002327)". The record is from RNAcentral. Lineage: Eukaryota; Viridiplantae; Streptophyta; Magnoliopsida; Malvales; Malvaceae.
UUUUUCUUUUUCCAUCUCACGUUGCUUGCAACCUCCAUGGAAGCUUGAUAUGGAGCUUGCAUAAUUUUCUCUCUCUAGCCUUAGUUUUCAUAUCUUUGAGCCCUUUUGACUAGAACCCUUGUAUUCUUUCAUUCUCUCACUUCAAAACCCUUGAUAAAUCAAAUUUCCAUACUUUCUCUCACUAGCUGGGCAUUCUAGAGAGAGAAAAAAAGAAAUACACCAUUUGUUUGGAAGUUAUUGGAAGAGAAUUCAACUACAAAGAAACCCUAGGGUGAGUGAUGCACUAAGCUUGGUUUUUAGUUGUGGAUAAUGGCUAGUAAAUUAGAUUAUGAGUUGUUUUAUUGUUGAGGAUGUUCAUUCAUUUUAGAGUGAUUUAGAUAGUCAACAUAGAUAACCAUUUAAAGUGACAAUUAAAGGCUAGCUAAGAGAUAGCUUUUAGGGUUUAUAGUAUGUGAAUUAACAUAACGGUGAUGUUAAUGUGAAGGUAGGUUUCAAGGAAGCCCCAUCAUCCCAUUUGGACAAUUAAGGGAAUUAGAGUCAUCUAAAGGCUCAACAAUAUAUCGGUGAGUGGACUGCCUAUAAAAAUUAUUUUGGGACUAUGACCGUUUUGUACAAAGUAUUUGAAUGAUUCUAUAGAACUUUUGUUAAAACAAGUGCCUUGGGAACAAGCCUUUGAUAAAUCGAUUUUAUGUUAUGACAUAUGGUUAUCAUGAAUCUCUAUACUGCAGCAUUAUGUUGAUAUACAUAUAUGUUUGAAUAUAGUGUUGUGUAAUUAUAUUGACUCGGCUAUGUGCAAGUAGGGAGUGCACAUAAGCCGAGGAUGACCCAGUUAUGUGAGAGUAGAGAGUGCGCAUAACCUGGUGAUGACCGAACCAUGUGCGAGUAGGGAGUGCGCAUGAGCUGGUGAUGAUGAUGAUGUGAUGGUGUGCAUGAUGAUGAUGGGUAUACGUAUACAUAUAUACAUAUGUAAAUAUGUGUGCUAUAGGAAAUUAAUGAGUAAUGGUAUAUGGUUGUAAUGCAUGUGAAACUUGACAAGUUAAACCUUGGAAAAUUGUCAUGCACUUCAUGUUGGUUUGGACAUUUCAGCAGGGUGGUUUUUCUUUGGGAAUAAGGGAAAAUUUUUCAUUGGUGCUUUAUUUGUCGCUGCAACGAGAAUCAUUUUCGCUGCAGCGAGAAACUCUUGGGUUUGGAGGGGGUAAACUGGCUGAAAACUUGCUGCAGCGAGAAUGCAUUUUUGCUACAACGAGAAUGACACUAUAGCUUCUCGCUGUAGCGAAAUUCAUUCUCACUGUAGCGAGAAACUUUCUGUUUUUAGGUUACAAUUAUGUUGCAGCGAAAAACUUUCUGUUUUGUCUCCUAUCUUGUCCAAUUACUGCCCUAUUUUUAACUUUUUCGCUACCAUAUCUGAGCAUGGACUUCCAACAUUAAGGACUAAAUAAGUUAAAUUUAAAAUGAGGACGUUUAGUGAGAAACCCUCGGCCAGUUGAGAAGCCCUCGUUCGGCUAAUAACUUAAUCCCAAUGUCGCUAUAGCGAAGAUUCGUUGUCGUAUUUGACUUGCUUGUGAAAUAUUGAAGCUUUCAUUCUUGAAAUGGUUCGUUAUGUAUGGGAUUUUUAAACGAUUAAUCAUCUAAGGGUUUGAUGAGGGGUUUUUAAUAUGAAUGGAACUAAAUUGCAUUGUUUUGAAACAAGUGCAUCAUGAUUUUAAAUUCUCCUUUGUUAUUGCUUGUUCCCUUCCUUGUUCACUCACUAGGUUUAUACUCACUGUUUUCAACUUCAUGUUUUCAUAUCACGAGGCAACCGGUAACUAGGACGAGGUGUCCUUGUAGACUUUUAUCCAUAUUUUUGUAGGUGUCUUGACAUUCAAUAGCUGUACAUUCAUCCGAGUCCCUCUGUUGGAAAUAAAGUCUUCUUUUUGAGAUGUAUAGACAAACUUGAUGUAAAUUAUUAAGAUACAUGUUGUAGGCAAUGUACACUUAAUUGGUAUGCCAGUAUGAGUUGGCAUUGUUUCAUAUUACUUUGAUCCUAAGUUAUGAAAUGUGACUUAGUAGUUUAUGAUGGAAUGAUGAACAUGUCAGAUUGAUAGGCUUACUUGGGUUUAGUGGACUAUGUCCAUUGGGCCCAUGCGCCGGUCAUGGCCCGAAAUUUGGGUCGUGACACCGAUAUCCAUAAUCUAAAGAAUUAUGGAAGUAAAGGAUAAAGGCCACUUUGAUAAAGAAUGUGUCAAGAUAUAAGUUAGUUGAAUAAGGAUUCAUGAUUGAAGGAAAAAGAGAAGUAGAAAUGAGGUACACUAAAGAUUUUGAAUUUGGAUUGUUGCUAGGAAGUACAAAAGUAAAGAUAGUGUACUGUGGUAGCGUGCCGGAGGAAAUAACGAGCUACCAGAAAGUAGCAAUAGCUAGAUACGCCUCCGAACUAAUAGUGUUGUAACAUCCUGCUAUCGUAAGGUGAGUGAACUUGCAUUAAAAUAUUUUGGAAUAAAUGAUUAUAUGCUUGAUUGAACCACUAAAAUUAUUUUACUGGUUUUUCUUAAAAUUUGCAUAAGAACAAGCCCUUGAUGAAACGUUAUAUGUUAUGAAUGUGUAAUAUGAUGAAUCCUUGUGCUCCCAUAUUAUGUUGAUAUAUAUAUGUUGUAUAUUGAUAGUUAAUAUGGUGUGAUAAUUAUAACUGCGCAUGUGCCCGAUGUGGGGGUUGCACAUGCUGGUGAUGAGGGGGUGAGGGAGUGUGGAUGAUGAUAUAUGCCAUGUGCGGGAUGUGGGGGGAGCACAUGAUGGAAUUAGUUGUGCACGAUGUGGGAGUGCACACGAUGAUGAUGAUAUAUGCAAUGUGCACGAUGUGGGGGAAGCACAUGAUGGCAUUAGUUGUGCGAGAUGUGGGGGUGCACACGAUGAUGAUGAUAUAUGCCAUGUGCACAAUGUGGGGGGGAGCACAUGAUGGCAUUAGUUGUGCGCGAUGUGGGGGUGCACAUGAUGACCCCGGCUAUGUGCGGUGCGGAGUGCACAUGAACUGGGUGAGGUGGUGGUUGUAUACAUGCUUGUAUAUAUAUAUGCUAUAAAUAUGUUUUUUAUAUGCUAUAGAAAAGGUUAUGAAAAUAAUAUGUGACUGCAUUGAAUAUUGAGAAAAACUUGAUUAUUUUCAAUGUCCUUGAUUUAAUGUACAAUGUGUUCGAAUCAAGGCAACGAAGAUCUUAAGGACACUUAGUAUUUUCGUUGAAUUUUGUAUUACUUUAAGUCUAGAAAGACGUGGUGUAAAUGAAGUAGUAGUAGUUAUCUGUAUAAAGGACUUAAGAGUUUGGCUUUUAUUUUCAUGUGACUCAAACGGAUUAUGAAGUAGCUGUUUAAAUGACGUGGUGCAUAUGGUAAUCUUUUGGUAUGAUAGAGGUGGACUAGCAAUAUAAUUAUUGAACAAGGAUAUUCACCUGAGUGGUGUGGUUGGUCGCCAUAGAUAACUAUUAAAGGUUGAUGUAGAAAGUCAUUAAUGGUACAAGCAACUACAAGACCUAACAAGCGAUUACUGAUUAAUCGUGGAAAUGUGAAAUUUGAAAUCUCAAUUGCAGCUAUAAUUCGGGAGGAUAUGAGAGAAAUUAAUGAGACUAUAUAUGACACCUUGAAUGGUUAAUGUGAUUAAGUCAAGGAUUGUAAACUUAUGUAUUGAGGAAAUUAUAACUCGAUAUUCCUAUGGAUGAGAAAUGUUAAGGGUAUAUGCUGGAUAAACAGGAAAAGGGUCAAAAAGGAUAAUUCGUUGGUCAAGUAUCUGUAGUGUGUAGGUAGGUACAAAAGAGUUGUGCAAUGCAUAAAAGAAGAAAAAGAUAUGUAAGUCUUUUAAUUGUUUCUUAUAAAGUACGAUUGGUGGUAAGAAUUGAGGCACAUGGUGCCAUGACAUUAUAAAUUGAUAAUUUGGCACAAAUAUAGACCGUUGGGGGUAAAUGAUGGAGCUUGAGGAAGAUGAAUUCUUCAUUAGUAAGGAUUGUAGGUAUAAGGUGUGGAAAAGAUGAACUAUUUCCAUGGUUGUUUGUACUGAAAUGUCAAUAAAAUAUUUGAGUUACAAGACAAGAAAGACAAUUAAUUUGGGAUGAUAAGAAUUGUGGGAUGUCAUAAAUAAUGAGUAGUUAUGUGUGUGGUUCUGUAUAUAUAUCUUGUGAAGUCAUUACACAAUAUGGAGGGGAUGUCUUAAGGUGGGACUUAAUGAUUGAUGAUGAGUGUUAAAGGAUAAUAUGAGUUGAAAGUAUUGACUUCGCCUAAUGCAUAUGAUAAGCAAAAUGAAGAUACACAUGCUGAUGGAAAUUGUGGUAUGGGAUUAAAAGGAACCUAUGCGGUUGAGAAUGAUUGGUGCGGUAGCCUUAAAGGUAGAAGAAUUGCUUCAAUAAAGUAAAAAAAAAAAAAUUCUAGUAGUUGCAACUCCGCAGCGCUGACUGCCCAAUGCUACCGUGUUAAAAACCCUUCAUGGCUGGGAAGCGCAAGCAAAUUGUGAGUGGUAUGAAGAUGAAACUCACAAGUUGAAUCAUGGUCAUUGGUUUUGAUGUUGAGCUUAGUUAUUUGGAGUUUUAAGUUCGUGGAAAAGUGUUUAUAUGAGGGAAUUGAAAGGUUUAUUUAGUGCCUUUGACAUGUAAAAGAAAAAAGAGUUAAAGAGUUCUUGAGAUGGCUACAUUAAGAUAAAUUACCAUGUGGAGUAUUAAAAUGAAUAAUAUGUUGACUAAAGUCAAAUCUUAAGAAAUAAAGAAGACAAGAGAUUAAGCCUUGUUAAAGGCUAAGGAAAAAGUGAGUGAAAGGUUAGAUGAAUGUAUGAGACAUUGACAAGGGAUGUCAAUACCAAGUAUGAAAUUGUGAAUAAAGGAUUACAAUGGUAGCAUAGCAAAUGAGUUAAUAUAAAGUAUUGCUAUGAAGAUUUACAAAUCUUGUCAUGAUUUAGUUGAAUGAAGAGGAUUAGUAACAAUACAAGGCCGAUUACGUGGCAUGCUAGAAACCCUUGGGGAUAAAUUGAAGUAUGAAUAGUUGAGCAUGCAUUUAAAUAUCUUGGUGAAUAAGUGCAUGCCUUUUCGGAAUGAUAUGCUUGGAAGAUUAAAGAGCCAAUAAGUGAUUAAGUGUUUUAGGAAUGCAUCAACAUCGUUGAAAAGGAUAUACCAAUCAUACGUGGCAAGUAUAACAUCUGGAAAAUUUAAUCUUGCUAAAGAGCCUAAUGGCUAAACCACAAGUUAAAUAAUUAUAUAUGGUGAGAUAUAAGUUUAAGGUGGGUAUCUGCAAGGAAAUACUCAAAAGGAAUCCUGCUAUGCAUCUUGUGAAAACAAGCAUUAAGUUAUGUUGUUACAAAAAGGGAAGCUGUAAGCUGAAAGUGAUACUCACAUUGACAUUGAAAGGUACUUGAGAAGAACUUUAUUUCUAGUCUUGUAAUUUUGAGUACAUAUAGUUAAUUGGCUAAGGAAGAAUGAUGUUAUAUUUGUCUGAAAGAGUAGUGCAGAAGAUGAUUGGAGAUAAUCUUGAUAAUGAAGUCAGAUAAUGAAAACCUCUUAAUGUAUGAUUGGAGUUUAAAAACACAUGAGGCAGGCAUGAUCCAAAUGAAUCUAAGUCUUAAGUGACUGGUUAAUCUCGAAUUGCAAAAAGGAUAUAAUCUAUAUGUUACAGGCAUGAAAGAUAAUUGAAAUAAAAGGAUGGCUUGUAGGGAUUGUGAUAUUACAUAAGAUGCAAUGAUUAAGUAAGAGAUAAAUCUUUAAAGGAUCAACAUGGUUAUAAAGCAUAUACGAAUACCGGAUUGCAAUUUAAUGAAAAUGACAUUUGGCAAGUGAGAGGUGACUAAUGAGAUUAUGAUGCAAGGAUAUAUAGUAUAAUGAUAUUUAAGAAGAUAAUUGGAAAUGAUAAGAAAAGAGUAUGGCCAUGUAAAAGACGUGAAGCUAUGCAUAGGCAUAAUGAGAAUUCUUAUGGAUUACGUAAGAGAUAACUUACGGUAAGAUGCGAGUGGAAUGGUGAUUUAAACAUAUAAAAAAGGUAAUCUAAAAUUGAUUAUACCCCAAUGCUCAUACAUUAAAUAUGAGAGCGUUGACAUGAACUAUGAAGAUUAUCAUAUUAAAUCUUGGCUAUGGAUGGAAGCAAACAAAGAGAAAUUAGUCUGAAGGCACUUGAAAACAAGGAUCCCCACACUUAAUAAGGAAGGAUGAUACUUAAAUGUGUGGAUACGUACGUAUGUGUGGAUUUAAUGAUGUGCCCAACUGAAGUGAAGAAUUGUUCUUAGUGAUUCGAGCUUUGAACUCAAUAAUUGAUGAGUUGUAUAGAUAGUACAACGAUAAAAUAUCCCAUCAGAAGUUGAGCUAUGUUGAUAUAAAAUAUUUUGGAGAAAUAGUUAAGGAAAUGAUACCAAGGAAAUGUAAUCUAUAACGUGGUUAAGCCAUACAAGAUGGACUAAUAUGAUUAUGAAGAUUGAAAUUGCAGAAAUACAAGGUAAACAUGAGUAUGUGGGAAUAAUUGAAGCCGUUAACCUCCCCCAACAUUGGGAAUACGUACAGGAAUGAAUAUGGCGUGUUAAUAAUACUAUAAGCUACAUAAUAAUGUAUGAGGAUAGGAUGAAUGAAUGAAUGUCGAGAAGUUUGACAAGUAAUGAAGUAAUAAGAUGGUGAUUGGUAUACAUAAGUCAGUAUAAAAUGUGAUUGAAAUCGGUAUCAUUAAGAUGGAGUUACGGUUCAAAUUUAAUGAUGGUGAUAAUGGCAUACUCAACGUUUUAAAAUAAGAGAUAAUGAUCGUGAAGGGUACCACCGAUUUGAUUCUAAAGGAUGAUAACAGACAUAAGUGAAGCAUUCUAGUCAAACUGGAGGUAAACAAGGUGAAUGAAUGACUGGAGGUUUGACAAUAAUCAAAAUAAAGAUAUGUUUGAGGUUAGUAACGAAAUUAAAGGCAUACUUGGGAUCUUAGUGAUAAGAAAGAAUAGUUGAGAAGGGGACCGUGGUUUUGACUCAAAGAUGAUAAUAGAUAAAAGUUACGUACCCAGACCUAGUAAAGUAUUCUAGUGAAAUUGAAGAUAAUGAGAUGCGUAAAUCAAAUUCCUUACAAAGAAGGAAAUGGAAUAUGAUCAUUGAGUGAGAUUAACAACUCGAUAUUGAAGAGAAUUCAAGGAUGAAUCCUAUUUAAGUGGGGGAGAUUGUAAUAUCCCGUACUUUGUUAUGGUGGCUAAUAAAGCUUAUCGAAUGCUAAUUGAGGUUAAUUGGAAUGUUUAAAAGUGAUGAAAGGUGAAAAGAGUAUUUUAACAUAAAAUAUUUAACAAGCGAGGAAACAAUAAUAAAAUAAUAAUAAUGUUUUUACUGAGGAUGAAUUAGCAAGAUAAAAAGUGAUUCGGAGUAUAACAAGGUGUUUUGGGUGCCAAGGAGACAAGUGGAAAAUUUUAGAAUAAAAUAAUAUUAAAAUAUUAAUAUUUUAUUCAGUACCGUAAUUUUUCAUGAAAAGGGAGUAUAUGGUCAAUCUAAGUGGGGGAGAAGACAAACGAGGAAAUUUUAGAGAAAAAUGACGUUAAUGAGGCCCACGUGCCUUUAUUAAAUAAAGAUAACGUGGGUAGAUAAAUAUUUUAAAUAUUAUGGGCACACCGCAUCGGAGUUAAAACUUUAUAUUUCAUUUGUACAAGUGUAAAUGAAGAAAAUGGAAGGAAUUUGGAAUUAAAAGAUUGUGGGAGGAUACAAUUAAAAAGGGUGAAAACCUUGGAGGGCAAAAUGAUAAUUUUGCCAUUAAAAUGGUUAAACCUUUCAACUCUUCAUCCUUAUCCUUGGCUGAUCCUUAUCUCUUCAAGAUGGCAUUUCUUCUUCUCCAUCUCCUUCCUCCCAUGCCAUUACCAUACUUCCACCCCAUUUUCACUUGACUCCCAUGCAAUUGAAGAGAAAAAUAGAGAGAAUCAGCUAAGGAAAGAAAGGAGAGAAAUGUGGAAGGCUGGGGUAGUAAGUGAUUCAAGAGUAACUGAAGAAAUAUGAAGUGGGUUUCAAGAUUCAAGAUACAUAAGGUAAGGGUUUUUGUGUUUUAAGCUCAUGGUUGGUUAAAUCUUUGGAAAAAUGAUGUGUGAAUCAUUUUGUGGCAACUAUGGUGACCAUGGGUGUGAGGAAAUUAUGAAUUUUGUUGGGUGAAAUCCAAGCUAAAACCAAGUGGUAAGCUUAAUGCUACAAUUUGGUGUGUUGAUAUGUGUUGUUAGGAAAGGUUUAAAAGGUUAUGGAUGUUGGUGUGCAUGAAUGAAUAUUAAUAUUAUGCUCGGUGGCAACAUGUAAAUGAGGAUGGUGGUACAUGUAGACUUAGAAAAUGUUUGAUGGAAGUAAAUUUAUAGUUACUGCCAUAUGCUAGGUAAUUAUUGUGGAAAUGAUGGAUGAACUUGAUAAAUAUCCUUAGACAAGAUUUAUAUAUGUGCUAGAGUCAUAAAUAAGUUGUCGGUAUCCAUAAUCUAAAGAAUUACGCAAGUAAAGGAUAAAGGCCACUUUGGUAAAGAAUGUGUUAAGAUAUAAGUUAGUCAAAUAAGGAUUCAGGAUUGAAGGAAAAAGAGAAGUAAAAAUGAGGUACACUAAAGAUAUUGAAUUUGGAUUGUUGCUAGGAAGUACAAAAGUAAAGGUAGUGUACUGUUGUAGCGUGCCGGAGGAAAUAACGAGCGACCGAAAAGUAGCAAUAGCUAGAUGCGCCUCCAAACUAAUAGCGAUGUAACAUCUCGCUAUCGUAAGGUGAGUGAACUUGCAUUAAAAUGUUUGGGAAUAAAUGAUUAUAUGCUUGAUUGAACCACUUGAAUUAUUUUACUGGUUUUCUUAAAAUUUGCAUGGGAACAAGCCCUUGAUGAAACGUUAUAUGUUAUGAAUGUGUAAUAUGAUGAAUCCUUGUUCUCCCAUAUUUUGUUGAUAUUUAUAUGUUGUUUAUUGAUAGUUAAUAUGGUUUGAUAAUUAUAACCGCGCAUGUGCCCGAUGUGGGGGUUGCACAUGCCGGUGAUGACGGGGCGAGGAAGUGUGGAUGAUGAUAUAUGCCAUGUGCGGGAUAUGGGGGGAGCACAUGAUGGCAUUAGUUGUGCCCAAUCUAGGGGUGCACACGAUGAUGAUAUAUGCCAUGUGCGUGAUGUGGGGGGAGCACAUGAUGGCAUUAGUUGUGCGUGAUGUGGGGGUGCACACAAUGACUCCAGCUAUGUACGGUGCAGAGUGCAUAUGAGCUGGGUGAGGUGGUGGUUGUAUAGAUGCUUGUAUAUACAUAUGUUAUAAAUAUGUUUUUUUAUGCUAUAGAAAAGGUUAUGAAAAUAAUAUGUGACUUCAUUGAAUAUUGAGAGAACUUGAUUAUUGUCAAUGUGCUUGAUUUAAUGUACAAUGUGACAUGAGUGGAUUUUCCUUGUGGUAGUGAAAACCCCUUAGAUUAUAUCUAGCUACAAUUUUAUUGCAGGGAGAAUGCCUUUUCGCUGCGGUGGGAAUCAAUUUAUUGGGCUUGACUUGCUUGAAUUCUACUAAAGUUUUCACUUUUCAACUUCUUUGUUGUUCAUGGAUCCUUCAUCAUCAAGUGGUUAAACAACCAAGGAUUUGAAUGAGGGGUUUUUAAUAAGAAAUAAACUAAACUGCAUUGUUUUUAACUUAAGUGCAUCAUGAUUUCUAAACCUACCUUAACGUUGCUUGUUCCCUUCUUAUGUUCACUCACUGGGUUUAUACUCAUGUUUUUAAACUUCAUGUUUUAGGUUUUCUGAGUUAAAGGUGAUUGGUCCUAGGACGAGGUGCUCCUUCCUAUCCAUUGCUCAGUAGGUUUACCAUGACACUAAAUGUUAACAACUGUGCCCAGAGUCACUCCGUUGAUGGUCAAGGUCUAAUUAUGUGUAUAUGAAUGCUUGAUGUGAAAUGCUAAGAUUCAUUUGUCAAGCCAUAUAUGUAUAUUAUGGUUGAUGAUGCCAUUAUGAAUACAUAAUUCUAUCUUAUGAAUUGUUUU